AUUGAACGCUGGCGGCAUGCCUUACACAUGCAAGUCGAACGGCAGCAUGAUCUAGCUUGCUAGAUUGAUGGCGAGUGGCGAACGGGUGAGUAAUACAUCGGAACGUGCCCUGUAGUGGGGGAUAACUAGUCGAAAGAUUAGCUAAUACCGCAUACGACCUGAGGGUGAAAGUGGGGGACCGCAAGGCCUCAUGCUAUAGGAGCGGCCGAUGUCUGAUUAGCUAGUUGGUGAGGUAAAGGCUCACCAAGGCGACGAUCAGUAGCUGGUCUGAGAGGACGAUCAGCCACACUGGGACUGAGACGCGGCCCAGACUCCUACGGGAGGCAGCAGUGGGGAAUUUUGGACAAUGGGCGAAAGCCUGAUCCAGCAAUGCCGCGUGUGUGAAGAAGGCCUUCGGGUUGUAAAGCACUUUUGUCCGGAAAGAAAUGGCUCUGGUUAAUACCUGGGGUCGAUGACGGUACCGGAAGAAUAAGGACCGGCUAACUACGUG
This 490-nucleotide ribosomal RNA is filed under the name uncultured bacterium. RNAcentral's name for it is "partial 16S ribosomal RNA". It matches the Rfam family "Bacterial small subunit ribosomal RNA", at positions 30 to 507 of the family's 1533-position model. The record is from RNAcentral.